This 254-nucleotide ribosomal RNA is filed under the name uncultured bacterium. RNAcentral's name for it is "partial 16S ribosomal RNA". It matches the Rfam family "Bacterial small subunit ribosomal RNA", at positions 524 to 776 of the family's 1533-position model. The record is from RNAcentral.
CACGUAGGGGGCAAGCGUUGUCCGGAUUUAUUGGGCGUAAAGAGCUCGUAGGCGGUUCGGUAAGUCGGGUGUGAAACCUCCAGGCUCAACCUGGAGACGCCACCCGAUACUGCUGUGACUAGAGUCCGGUAGGGGAGCGUGGAAUUCCUGGUGUAGCGGUGAAAUGCGCAGAUAUCAGGAGGAACACCGGUGGCGAAGGCGGAUCUCUGGGCCUUACCUGACGCUCAGGCGCGAAAGCUAGGGGAGCGAACUGG